This 491-nucleotide ribosomal RNA is filed under the name uncultured bacterium. Its description in RNAcentral is "partial 16S ribosomal RNA". It matches the Rfam family "Bacterial small subunit ribosomal RNA", at positions 29 to 506 of the family's 1533-position model. The record is from RNAcentral.
AGUGAACGCUGGCGGUAGGCCUAACACAUGCAAGUCGAACGGCAGCACAGUAAGAGCUUGCUCUUACGGGUGGCGAGUGGCGGACGGGUGAGGAAUACAUCGGAAUCUACUUUUUCGUGGGGGAUAACGUAGGGAAACUUACGCUAAUACCGCAUACGACCUACGGGUGAAAGCAGGGGAUCUUCGGACCUUACGCGAUUGAAUGAGCCGAUGUCGGAUUAGCUAGUUGGCGGGGUAAAGGCCCACCAAGGCGACGAUCCGUAGCUGGUCUGAGAGGAUGAUCAGCCACACUGGAACUGAGACACGGUCCAGACUCCUACGGGAGGCAGCAGUGGGGAAUAUUGGACAAUGGGCGCAAGCCUGAUCCAGCCAUACCGCGUGGGUGAAGAAGGCCUUCGGGUUGUAAAGCCCUUUUGUUGGGAAAGAAAAGCAGCAGGUUAAUACCCCGCUGUUCUGACGGUACCCAAAGAAUAAGCACCGGCUAACUUCGU